Molecule: small RNA, 827 nt
Filed under: Pongo abelii (Sumatran orangutan)
Lineage: Eukaryota; Metazoa; Chordata; Mammalia; Primates; Hominidae
Description: processed transcript
Source: RNAcentral
GCGGAAUUCUCCACGAGUUUUGAGCAGCGUCGGUUUUCCCACCACCUCCAAAUCAUGCAAGACACAGGGUGCAGGCAGAGCCCCCGGAGCCAUGGCCAGCCCUUCCGGCAGCUCCGAAGCCACUGGCAAGCCCCGAGGCAGGGAUGGCCGGCCCAGGAGGGAGGAGGACGACGUCCCUCCCGAGGAGAAGAGGCUGCGCCUGGGGCUGGAGGGGGGAAGCGCACAGCCCGAGGACUGCGAGGACGGGGAGGACGCGCCGCGGCCGGGCAGGGAGGAGACCGGCACCCAGACAGGUGGCGACGGCAGAGGAGUGGUCAUUUUUCUUCUUGUGGCCUCUGGUAUGUGACACAGAACUCAAAGGACAGGAAGGAGAUGAGUUGGAGGCUGGGACAGGGGUCCCUGUCAGGGAUGCUGGUGACUCACAUGACGGUGUUGAUGUGUGGAGUCCGGUGCCUGGUUUGGGGAAUGUUCGUGGGAUAUGUGCCAAAGGACUGACGGACCUAUCAGGUGCAGCGGCUCACAUUUGUAAUCCCAGCACUUUGGAGGCGAGGCUGCGGAUCACCUAAGGUCAGUAAUUCGAGACCAGCCUGGCCAACCUGGUGAAACUGUCUCUACUAAAAAUACAGAAAUUAGCCAGGUGUGAUGGCACACACCUGUAAUCCCAGCUACUUGGGAGGCUGAGGCAGGAGAAUCGUUUGAACCUGGGAGACAGAGGUUGCAGUCAGCCGAGAUCGCACCACUGCACUUCAGCCAGCCUGGGUGACAGGGCGAGACUCUCUUUCAAAAAUAAAUAAAUACAAUAGAAUUCUGAAUUUUAUUUUUAAUAA